Molecule: ribosomal RNA, 466 nt
Filed under: uncultured bacterium
Lineage: Bacteria
Description: partial 16S ribosomal RNA
Rfam family: Bacterial small subunit ribosomal RNA
Source: RNAcentral
CGAACGCUGGCGGCGUGCUUAACACAUGCAAGUCGAACGGAAAGGCCCUGCUUUUGUGGGGUGCUCGAGUGGCGAACGGGUGAGUAACACGUGAGUAACCUGCCCUUGACUUUGGGAUAACUUCAGUAAACUGGGGCUAAUACCGGAUAGGAGCUCCUGCUGCAUGGUGGGGGUUGGACAGUUUCGGCGGUUGGGGAUGGACUCGCGGCUUAUCAGCUUGUUGGUGGGGUAGUGGCUUACCAAGGCUUUGACGGGUAGCCGGCCUGAGAGGGUGACCGGCCACAUUGGGACUGAGAUACGGCCCAGACUCCUACGGGAGGCAGCAGUGGGGAAUAUUGCACAAUGGGCGGAAGCCUGAUGCAGCAACGCCGCGUGCGGGAUGACGGCCUUCGGGUUGUAAACCGCUUUCGCCUGUGACGGAGCGUGAGUGACGGUAAUGGGUAAAGAAGCACCGGCUAACUACGUG